Non-coding RNA from Mycena metata, 88 nucleotides. NCBI's taxonomy places the organism in Eukaryota, Fungi, Basidiomycota, Agaricomycetes, Agaricales, Mycenaceae. The record is from the annotation of a GenBank genome assembly.
GCCCCGGUGGCAGAUGGUCUGCACCUGCAGUAGGUUUUAACCCAACUGCCAUCUGAGCAGGUAGCUCGUUCGAGUCGAGCCCGGGGCG